This 254-nucleotide ribosomal RNA is filed under the name uncultured bacterium. Its description in RNAcentral is "partial 16S ribosomal RNA". It matches the Rfam family "Bacterial small subunit ribosomal RNA", at positions 524 to 776 of the family's 1533-position model. The record is from RNAcentral.
UACGUAGGGUGCAAGCGUUGUCCGGAAUCAUUGGGCGUAAAGGGCGCGUAGGCGGUUUGGUAAGUCAGAUGUGAAAUCCCUGAGCUUAACUCAGGAACUGCAUUUGAAACUGCCAAGCUAGAGUGUGAUAGAGGAGAGCGGAAUUCCCGGUGUAGAGGUGAAAUUCGUAGAUAUCGGGAGGAACACCAGUGGCGCAAGCGGCUCUCUGGGUCAACACUGACGCUCAGUGCGCGAAAGCGUGGGGAGCAAACAGG